UACGUAGGGUGCGAGCGUUAAUCGGAAUUACUGGGCGUAAAGCGUGCGCAGGCGGUGAUGUAAGACCGAUGUGAAAUCCCCGGGCUUAACCUGGGAACUGCAUUGGUGACUGCAUCGCUCGAGUAUGGCAGAGGGGGGUAGAAUUCCACGUGUAGCAGUGAAAUGCGUAGAGAUGUGGAGGAAUACCGAUGGCGAAGGCAGCCCCCUGGGUCAAUACUGACGCUCAGGCACGAAAGCGUGGGGAGCAAACAGG
This 253-nucleotide ribosomal RNA is filed under the name uncultured bacterium. Its description in RNAcentral is "partial 16S ribosomal RNA". It matches the Rfam family "Bacterial small subunit ribosomal RNA", at positions 524 to 776 of the family's 1533-position model. The record is from RNAcentral.